Molecule: ribosomal RNA, 253 nt
Filed under: uncultured Legionella sp.
Lineage: Bacteria; Pseudomonadati; Pseudomonadota; Gammaproteobacteria; Legionellales; Legionellaceae
Description: partial 16S ribosomal RNA
Rfam family: Bacterial small subunit ribosomal RNA
Source: RNAcentral
UACGGAGGGUGCGAGCGUUAAUCGGAAUUACUGGGCGUAAAGGGUGCGUAGGUGGUUAAUUAAGUUAGGUGUAAAAACCCUGGGCUUAACCUAGGACUGAGAUUUAAUACUGAUUAACUGGAGUAUGGGAGAGGGUAGUGGAAUUUCCGGUGUAGCGGUGAAAUGCGUAGAGAUCGGAAGGAACACCAGUGGCGAAGGCGGCUACCUGGCCUAAUACUGACACUGAAGCACGAAAGCGUGGGGAGCAAACAGG